AUACGGAGGAUGCAAGCGUUAUCCGGAUUUAUUGGGUUUAAAGGGUGCGUAGGCGGUUUGCUAAGCGGGAGGUGAAAUGCCGGCGCUCAACGUCGGAAGUGCCUCCCGCACUGGUGGACUAGAAUGACUCUGCCGUGGGAGGGAUGUGUAGUGUAGCGGUGAAAUGCUUAGAGAUUACACAGAACACCGAUUGCGAAGGCAUCUCACGAAGGGUUGAUUGACGCUGAGGCACGAAAGCGUGGGGAUCAAACAGGAUUAGGUACCCUGGUAGUCCACGCAGUAAACGAUGAUGGCUAACCGCUGGUUUAUUCGGAUCAGUGGCCAAGCGAAAGCGAUAAGCCAUCCACCUGGGGAGUACGACCGCAAGGUUGAAACUCAAAGGAAUUGGCGGGG
Molecule: ribosomal RNA, 393 nt
Filed under: uncultured bacterium
Lineage: Bacteria
Description: partial 16S ribosomal RNA
Rfam family: Bacterial small subunit ribosomal RNA
Source: RNAcentral